RNAcentral lists this ribosomal RNA (468 nucleotides) under uncultured bacterium. RNAcentral's name for it is "partial 16S ribosomal RNA". It matches the Rfam family "Bacterial small subunit ribosomal RNA", at positions 28 to 507 of the family's 1533-position model. The record is from RNAcentral.
GACGAACGCUGGCGGCGUGCUUAACACAUGCAAGUCGAACGGAAAGGCCCUGCUUUUGUGGGGUGCUCGAGUGGCGAACGGGUGAGUAACACGUGAGUAACCUGCCCUUGACUUUGGGAUAACUUCAGGAAACUGGGGCUAAUACCGGAUAGGAGCUCCUGCUGCAUGGUGGGGGUUGGAAAGUUUCGGCGGUUGGGGAUGGACUCGCGGCUUAUCAGCUUGUUGGUGGGGUAGUGGCUUACCAAGGCUUUGACGGGUAGCCGGCCUGAGAGGGUGACCGGCCACAUUGGGACUGAGAUACGGCCCAGGCUCCUACGGGAGGCAGCAGUGGGGAAUAUUGCACAAUGGGCGGAAGCCUGAUGCAGCAACGCCGCGUGCGGGAUGAUGGCCUUCGGGUUGUAAACCGCUUUCGCCUGUGACGAAGCGUGAGUGACGGUAAUGGGUAAAGAAGCACCGGCUAACUACGUG